This 456-nucleotide ribosomal RNA is filed under the name uncultured bacterium. RNAcentral's name for it is "bacterial SSU rRNA". It matches the Rfam family "Bacterial small subunit ribosomal RNA", at positions 340 to 786 of the family's 1533-position model. The record is from RNAcentral.
UACGGGAGGCAGCAGGGGGGAAUAUUGCACAAUGGGCGCAAGCCUGAUGCAGCCAUGCCGCGUGUAUGAAGAAGGCCUUCGGGUUGUAAAGUACUUUCAGUCGUGAGGAAGGUGUUAAGGUUAAUAACCUUAGCAAUUGACGUUAGCGACAGAAGAAGCACCGGCUAACUCCGUGCCAGCAGCCGCGGUAAUACGGAGGGUGCGAGCGUUAAUCGGAAUUACUGGGCGUAAAGGGCACGCAGGCGGUUAAUUAAGUUGAAUGUGAAAUCCCCGGGCUUAACCUGGGAAUGGCAUUCAAGACUGGUUAGCUAGAGUCUUGUAGAGGGGGUAGAAUUCCAUGUGUAGCGGUGAAAUGCGUAGAGAUGUGGAGGAAUACCGGUGGCGAAAGGCGGCCCCUGGACAAAGACUGACGCUCAUGUGCGAAAAGCGUGGGGAGCAAAACAGGGAUUAGAUACC